UACGGUGUAGUUCAACGGAUAGAACAUAGGUUUCCUAGACCUACAAUAUGGGUUCGAUUCCCAUCAUCGUAA
RNAcentral lists this transfer RNA (72 nucleotides) under Enterocloster aldenensis. RNAcentral describes it as "[Clostridium] aldenense tRNA-Arg". It matches the Rfam family "tRNA". From Rfam's summary of the family: Transfer RNA (tRNA) molecules are approximately 80 nucleotides in length. Lineage: Bacteria; Bacillati; Bacillota; Clostridia; Lachnospirales; Lachnospiraceae. The record is from RNAcentral.